CCCUUAUUUGCUUCCUUUCUGCCAAACAACAAAAAUUUUCCAUCAGGACAGAAUUGUUGUUCUACCAAGAUUGCAGAUAUUUGUCUAAAAGGCAAACCUGACUUAGUCUAAAUUUACAGAAGGAUGAAAUCAGCCAAACUGCAAUCAAAUUGCCCUAUAUAGUGUAAUCCAUCUGGGAAAUAGAUAUACCUUUUGAUGUUGUAAUAAUAACUACAAGUUUCUUUCUUCUUUGCUUAUAGAUUGAACCUCAAAUGCUUCAAGUACAAUAAAGAGGUGUCCCCACCUACAGCACAAGCUCACAGCUCUGAUGCCUUAAACCAUUCAUUCUAGUGAACUUUACAGUGGAAAAAAACCCCAUACAGGACACCUAAUACGGAGACCCUCCAGCUGCUGUUGAACUACAUCCUUCAACAUUCCCCUGGCAGGUAAGAAUGAGAGGUUUGUUGAAUUUGAGACAGGAAAGGGUGGCCCAGUUGCCAGUUAAAUGGACGAGCAUGACGUCGAGCAGGAGGCCACGAAGCCCAGGAGGCUAUAGCCCACACAGCACGCAAGCCCUAGGCGCUCACCCACUGCGGCAGCUCCAGCACGUCCUGCUCGUCACAUGGCUUCCCGGCACCAAUGCAACCCUGCCGCCCAGCCACCCCACGAACACUGUAAGCACCUCUAGCACCCACACGGAAUCCUCUUACCAGUCUUUGUUUUCUGAUAACAUUUCCCUGGCAGCCGGCUGAAAGGAAAAGGGGGGAGGGAUGGGAGGAGGGAGGAACCUUUGGAGGUCGAAUGGAGUAGGUGAGAGGGAGAAAGGGAAAAGAAGCAGCGGGAAAAGGGGGAAGUAAAUGAAAGAGAGAAGAGCGAAGGCAGCCGCGGGUCUCUGGCCUGGUCUUCACGGUACUACCAAAUUUAGCUCGUUCUCCGGCAGGGGAGCUACACUCAAACAUGCUCGGCAGCCAUCUUGAUUAUUACCCAGCAGCCCCCAGUGCAGAGAGGAAGGUUCUCAGAGGCGGGCAGAGGGUGGGACGCGACUGUGAGCUGCUCUGGUUACAGAGCGUGGAAGCGGUUUCCGACCGGAUUGCUGAGCAAAGGUAAAGCACUGCUAUACACGCUGGCACGUCAGCCCACGCACAACCCCCUUGUAGUUCGGCUACAGCUGAGAAAGCUUGUAUUUGUCAUUUCUGCAUUCAUUCGUUUUCGCUUAUUACGAAAGCUGACUAUUGCUUCCGGGCCUCUGGAUCAAGCUGGACUACAACUCCCAGCAUGCUAUAGGCGCACACAGAAAUGUACAGAGAUUAUAAGAAAGAAAUGCUUACAUUUCUCUUUCAAUACUGUAUGUAAUAGAAGCGGUUGCAUGUACCGUAAUAUAGUGGUGGGGCAACGUCUAUGCAGGGAUUACAAAGGCCCAGUAGCUAAGUGUUCCAAUAGAACAAUGGAGGGUGUUGAAUGGAGCAGUACAAUCCCUGCAGGGGAGUCCAGGUCUGCAAACAGCUGGGCAAACUUAGUACGCAAGCAGCAUUUCACAACACUGAACGUAGAUACCUAACUGGUUGCUAAGGGUUACUGCUCUGAGGCAUUUUUGCACAGCGACCCUGUCACACGUUGCAUUUUGUCCAAUACAAUACACCUCUCUGCACACUAUGUGGGUGCCUUGGCAGGGUUGUAUCUGUCUGCCAGUAUCACACACUUUUGGUGACAAGAGUCAGUGGGGAACUAAAUUGACAUGGUAAAGGAGACUUGCUGAUCCUUUAUGCAGUUUGUGGGAUCUACUGUACAUAAUAUGCAGUGUUCUGCCCCACAUCAAGGGUUGAAGAAUCAUUACUACUUCAACAAGCUAGAAUCUGUAUAGCUAGUUACGUAACAGCGCCAUCUAGCGGCAGUAGAAAUCCACUGCAACCUAUGUUUCUUACAUUUGUAUAAAUAAAGUUCUUAAUUAUGCAACUACAGUGCAUUGUGGGUGGCUAGUGCAUUCUGGGAAGGAGAAGGGAGCCACCAUACUGUUUACAGCACAUUUGCAUAGCUCUCCUAGCAUUCCUGCUUCUUAAAUCUCCACUACCCCACAGCCAGCAUAUCUGGUAAGAAUUAUACAAGUCUCAGGAUAGUCUGUUCUUUAGUGAUGUUUUUAUAGUUCUAAUCUGCACUUAGUAGUUGUUACUCUAGUAGAUAGCCAGUCAUGCGGCCUUAUAGGUUGUCAGCCAUCUUCAACAUGUGCUUGUGCUAUGUAAUAUGUUCAGACAUGCUGAUUUAGAAUGAAUGCUGCUGUAUAUGUUAUUCAUAUGUUUUUGCUAUAUACUUAUACAAACCAUUUGUAUCUUUAUAGUUUUACCACAUGAACAUGCAUCGACACACAUACAUCGAUGCUCCUGUUUACUAAUUGCAACUGACCACUUACAGUCAAACAACCUGUUAUCAAUAAACAAGUUAGAUUACAAGACGGUCUGCUUAUUUGGAAGACAGGGAUGGUUAAGCUGAAUGUUGGAUUGCACACUGUGAGAACGUGUAUGAAGGCAGAACAGUAAAACAGAUGCUGGUCAGCAACGAUAGUGGAUGUGACCAAACGGAGCUGCCAUCACACACGCGGUUCUGCGUAUACGAUUGCAGCGUCUGCCACACGGUCAGUGACAAGAAGUGAGAGUGCAGCUCAACACGAUCCAGACCACGCUGAAGCCCGGUCCUAUAUAGACUGAGUCCACAAAGAGACAUUAAGCGGCCGGCAGAACAGGCACAAUGUCUGUUAGCCGAGCAUCAUCAUACAAAACCAGAUCACGAGCAAGCUGCUCUAGCAAAUCCUCCAUAAAAGAAAUGGCUGCUCUCGCACGUGCAGAAGCUGAAGCUGCAAAAGUAAAGUCUUCCUUCGCUGCACAAGAGAUGCAACUAAAGAAAGAGAGGGCAUCAUUAGAAAAGGAACGAGUAGAUCUGCAAGCGUCGCUAGAAAGACUAGCCGCAGAGAAGGAAGCGGCAGCCGCAAUAGCCAAAGCAGAAUACCUGGAAGCCCUGGAGUUUUCCGGAUCUGAGAAACACAGCCGAGUACUUGGGCCAGACCUAGAUGAACAAGAUCCAGCCCAGCGUGUCUCAGAAUACGUCCACCAACACCCCAAGACAGAGGGCAACUAUGAGCCAGGACAUCAGCCAGCUUAUAAAGAGUGCCAAAGAUCCUACCUUGAACCACAGUACCUUAGGCAGGACGAUAUGCGACCAAACGAUGCUGACAACUACCGCCCUAUGGAGCAGAGACUACCACCUUUGCCCCGAAUUAAAGGGACACCUUUUGCAUCAGAACGGCAUUAUACUGACUGCUCUAAGCCAGAAGCUCUUAAGAGGUAUGGUAAUACACCACACGUGCAGCAUAACAGCACACCGGAUUGUACUAAUGCUAACUGGGCCAUCAUGGACUUUGCUAAGUUCUAUGCUAAACGGGAGCUGGUUACCAAGGGACUUACAAAGUUCACCGAUCAGGCUGAGAACUACAGGUCAUGGCGAGCCUCCUUCCAAAACGCCAUAAGAGACUUAGACCUUUCCCAUCAGGAAGAGUUAGACCUCCUGGUAAAGUGGCUUGGAAGCGAGUCAGUUGAACACGCCAAAAGAAUCAGAGACAUUAACAUAAACUAUCCUGACAGAGGCCUAAAGAUGGUGUGGGAAAGACUUGAUGAGUGUUACGGGUCCAUAGAAGCCAUUGAAAAUGCUUUGUUCAAAAGGAUUGAUAACUUUCCCAGAAUAGUGGGUAGGGGUUACCAGAAGCUCAGAGAGCUCAGUGACUUGUUAAGAGAGGUACAGGUUGCUCAAGAAGAAGGAGAUCUACCAGGGCUAGCUUUCCUAGACACCGCCAGAGGGGUCAAUCCUAUUGUUCAAAAACUCCCUCAUAACCUACAAGAGAAGUGGGUCACACAUGGUUCUACUUAUAAACGGGUUCAUAAUGUACCAUUUCCCCCCUUCGAGGUGUUUGUAAACUUUGUCAGUGAACAGGCAAGAAUCAGAAAUGAUCCCAGUUUUGAUCUCACAAUGUCAUGCCCCACUACCCCUGGUGUCAGACCUCAUAAAACACCAGUGGCAGUCCAUAAAACUAACAUUGCCUCCACAGGUUCUCCAUACAAGCCGUCUAAGUCUUCUCAAGAAGGGAACGGACACAGAGAUCUUAACAAAGAAUGCCCCCUGCACAAGAAACCACAUUCUUUACUAAAAUGCAGAGCCUUCAGAGAAAAGACUUUAGAAGACCGGAAAGAGUUCCUCAAAGACAACAACAUCUGCUUCAGGUGCUGCACUACAACAUCGCACUUUGCCAGGAACUGUGAGGUCAGUGUGUCAUGCUCAGAAUGUGGUAGCACAGAACACAAUACGGCUUUACACCCUGGACCACCCUCUCAGGCAGUGCACCAAACAGAGGAUCAUGAAAAGAAGCAGAUAGACACUAACAAAACCAAUACAGUAGUCACUUCUCAGUGUACCGAAAUCUGUAAAGGAGUGGUAGGAGGAAAGUCCUGCUCGAAAAUCUGCCUUGUCAGAGUUUACCCGGCCAGUCACAGAGAUAAGGCGAUCAAGGCAUACGCAAUCUUAGACGAUCAAAGCAACCGGUCUUUAGCAAAAUCCACCUUUUUUGACACCUUCAACAUCAUAGGACCUGGUUCUCCCUACUCCUUAAGGACAUGUGCAGGUACAGUGGAGACGGCGGGGAGGAAGGCAACGGGAUACAAGGUAGAGUCCAUAGACGGGCAGACCUGCUUGUCACUGCCAACCAUACUGGAGUGCAACCAAAUUCCUGACAACCGUUCUGAGAUACCUACACCAGAAGUAGCAGCAUACCACCCCCACCUGAAGCGUAUAGCUCACCAGAUACCAGAACUGGAUCCAGAAGCACCAAUAGCCUUACUCCUAGGAAGAGACAUACUACGUGUUCACAAGGCUAGAGGACAGAUUAACGGUUCCCAAAACGCUCCAUACGCCCAGAGACUUGACCUAGGGUGGGUCAUCAUAGGAGACGUCUGUCUAGGAGGAGCACACAAGCCGAUCUCUGUCAACAGCAUGCUCACCAACACACUUGAAAGUAGACGUCCUUCCUUAUUCCAACCAUGUCAGAACAGUUUCCUGAUAAAAGAAUUGCCUCAUAGAGAUCCUGUCCCUUGUCCCUUCAUGGAUCCUUCCAGCGAAGACCACGCCUGUGAUGGUGAACGAGAUCACUUAGGGUGUACAGUUUUCCAUAGGUCAAGAGAAGACAACAAGGUCGCAAUGUCCAUAGAAGACAGACUGUUCUUGGAGAUCAUGAAUCAAGGAAUGACAAAGGACAAGUCAAAAAGCUGGGUCGCGCCUUUACCAUUUAGACUCAAGAGACAACGCUUACCUGACAACAAAGAACUUGUCUAUAACAGAUUUAUCUCCCUCAAGCACAAACUUCAGAAGACACCAGAGAUGAAAGAACAUUUCUUUACCUUCAUGGAAAGAAUAUUCCAGAACAACCACGCAGAAAUGGCACCCGCGCUCCGAGACUCAGAGGAGCGUUGGUACUUACCCACAUUCGGCGUAUAUCAUCCUAAAAAGCCAGGCCAGAUACGAGUAGUGUUCGACUCAAGUGCCAGGUGCAAAGGCUUAUCACUAAACGAUGUCUUACUGUCUGGUCCAGACCUCAACAACCGACUUCUAGAGGUACUUCUGCGUUUCCGUAAAGAUUCCAUAGCAUUCAUGGCCGACAUACAACAGAUGUUCCACUGCUUCCUUGUCAAGGAGGAACACAGAAAUUACUUGAGGUUCUUCUGGUACCGCAACAAUGACCCUAACGAAGACAUCGUAGAGUACCGAAUGAGGGUGCACAUCUUCGGAAACAGCCCUUCACCUGCAGUCGCUAUCUAUGGUCUCAGACUUUCAGCUCAAGAGGGUGAAGCGAAGUAUGGGUCAGAUGCCAGAUCCUUUGUAGAGAAAGAUUUCUAUGUGGACGACUGCUUGAAAUCCACACCCACGAAUGAGUCGGCAAUCAGUCUCUUAAAAAGGACUCAAGAGAUGCUAGCUUUGUCUAAUCUGAGGUUACACAAAAUUGCCUCCAACAGCCGUGAGUUAAUGGAAGCCUUCUCAAACCAAGACCAUGCAAGCGACCUUAAGGACUUGGAUCUUGACACCGAUUCCCUUCCCAUGCAACGGAGUCUCGGUUUGCUCUGGGAUUUGAAGGCAGACACCUUUACCUUCCAGAUCAACAAAGAAGAAAAGCCCUUCACACGCAGAGGAGUUCUAUCUACAAUAAACAGCUUGUACGAUCCUCUGGGAUUUGUAACACCUGUCACCAUCCAAGGCAAAAUUAUGUUAAGAGACCUCACCACAGAGAUGUCCGAUUGGGAUGAUCCGCUUCCCACAGAGAAAAAGGACCUGUGGACAAGUUGGAAAAAGUCUCUUGAAGCUUUGACCAGCCUUCAUGUGACACGACCCUAUGCUUCCAUACCAUCUACAGAAGUCAAGAUGCAAAAGCUACAUAUCUUCUGCGAUGCUUCAAUCAAGGCAAUUGCUGCUGUAGCAUACCUGAAGACCAUUGAUGCCAAAGAACAAUGCCAUGUAGGGUUCGUCAUGAGUCGGGCCAAACUGACACCUCUCCGUGAACACACGAUACCCAGACUGGAGCUCUGCGCUGCUGUGCUUGCGGUAGAGUUGGCUGAACUUAUAACUUCAGGAAUGGGCCUAGAAAUCGAAGAAGUCGAAUUCCACACGGACAGCAAGGUAGUCCUAGGAUAUAUCUGCAACGAAAUUAGACGCUUUUAUGUCUAUGUCUCCAAUCGAGUGCUGAGGAUCAGGAGAUCCACUAGUCCUCAACAGUGGCACUAUGUGCCUACACAACAUAAUCCCGCAGACUACGCAACCAGAUCCGUCGCAGCCUGCCACCUGAAAGCCACAACAUGGUUCACAGGUCCUGCGUUCCUGUACCGUUCAACGGCUUGCAACAUCGGAUGUGACACAUUUGAAUUGAUAGACCCAGACGCAGAUGAGGAGAUCCGACCUGAAGUGUCUGUUCUUAACACAGUGACUUCAGAUCGUCAACUCGAAUCCCAUCGUUUCAGCAGGUUCUCCACCUGGAUGUCUCUGGUCCGUGCGAUAGCCAUCUUGAUUCAUAUAGCUAAGUCCUACACAUCUACAUUACCUGUGAGUCAGAAACCUUGUAAAGGUUGGCAUCACUGCAAGAGCGCCUUUACAGCUUCCAAUCUGGAGAGGUCCAAGGACAUAAUAAUCCACACAAUUCAACAUGAAUGUUACACUAAGGAGAUAGAAUACCUCAGGAAAGGCCAAACAGUCUCUAAAGACAGCGCUUUGAGAAGACUUGAUCCCGUCAUUGACCAAGGUGGGUUGAUGAGAAUAGGAGGCCGCCUUCAGGAAGCCAAAGUAGACUUCAGAGAAAAACACCCUAUAGUAAUUCCGGGACAUCACCAUGUCGCGACCCUACUCAUACGACAUCACCAUCUUCAAACAAAACACCAAGGCCGAAUGUUUACCGAAGGGAAUCUACGAGCCGCUGGACUAUGGAUUGUUGGAGCGAAGAGACGUGUAAGCCAGGUCAUUUUCAACUGCAUUACCUGUCGCAAACUUCGUGGUGGGUCUCAGAACCCAAAAAUGGCCAGUCUCCCAGCUGAAAGACUCAGCACAGAUCCUCCCUUCACUAACGUUGGCUUAGACGUAUUCGGCCCUUGGUCAGUGGCUACCAGGCACACAAGAGGUGUUCACACCGGUGCAAAGCGUUGGGCAGUCAUGUUUACUUGCAUGUCCAGUAGGGCAGUCCAUAUAGAAGUGAUCGAAUCUAUGGAUGCUUCCAGCUUCAUAAAUGCAUUCCGACGGUUUAUCGCCAUUAGAGGACCUGUGAAAUGUAUUCGUUCAGAUAGAGGCACAAAUUUCGUUGGAGCAGUAAAAGAACUCCAAAUUCCUUCCAAUUUGGAUACGGCCAAGGUGGACAGAUACCUAAAUGAGCAAGGAUGCACAUGGACCUUUAAUCCACCGCAUUCCUCCCACAUGGGCGGCGUCUGGGAAAGGAUGAUAGGGAUAGCAAGGAAAAUCUUGGAUUCCAUCUUCUCGCAGGUAGGGAGUACGAGACUCACACACGAAAGUCUGGUCACAUUCUUGGCAGAAGUCUCAGCCAUCAUGAACGCAAGACCGUUGACUACCCUUUCCAGUGACCCUGAAGAUUUGACGAUCCUUACCCCUGCCAUGUUACUCACACAGAAGACCAGCACCCUGAGUGCUCCAUCUGGAGAAUUUACCGAAAAAGACCUGUAUAGACGUCAAUGGAGGCAGGUGCAAAGUCUUUCUAAUGUCUUCUGGGACAAAUGGAGAAAAGAGUAUGUCUCUACCUUGCAGUCGAGAAGGAAGUGGCAAACUAACAAGCCGAACAUCAGACCUGGGGAUGUCGUGCUCAUGAAAGACCACCAAUCACAUCGGAACGAGUGGCCACUGGGCCUCAUCACCAACACGUUUCCAAGCAAGGAUGGGAAUGUACGUAAGGCCGAGGUCAAAAUUUGUAAGCUUGGCGAGUGCAAACUAUUCCUCAGACCAACAACAGAGCUCGUGUUGUUGUUUUCACCUGAGAAGACAAAUAGUGACGUCCGUUGACGCCAGACGGGGAGUGUUCUGCCCCACAUCAAGGGUUGAAGAAUCAUUACUACUUCAACAAGCUAGAAUCUGUAUAGCUAGUUACGUAACAGCGCCAUCUAGCGGCAGUAGAAAUCCACUGCAACCUAUGUUUCUUACAUUUGUAUAAAUAAAGUUCUUAAUUAUGCAACUACAGUGCAUUGUGGGUGGCUAGUGCAUUCUGGGAAGGAGAAGGGAGCCACCAUACUGUUUACAGCACAUUUGCAUAGCUCUCCUAGCAUUCCUGCUUCUUAAAUCUCCACUACCCCACAGCCAGCAUAUCUGUUUUACCACAUGAACAUGCAUCGACACACAUACAUCGAUGCUCCUGUUUACUAAUUGCAACUGACCACUUACAGUCAAACAACCUGUUAUCAAUAAACAAGUUAGAUUA
Xenopus laevis (African clawed frog) is the source of this 8968-nucleotide RNA transcript. RefSeq lists it as uncharacterized. The record is from RefSeq and is a predicted model, not a curated record. The transcript is spliced from 2 exons. NCBI's taxonomy places the organism in Eukaryota, Metazoa, Chordata, Amphibia, Anura, Pipidae.